ACGGCGAGUGAAGCGGCAACAGCUCGAAUUUGAAAUCUGGCCUCGGCCCGAGUUGUAAUCUGUAGAGGACGCUUUUGGCGCGGUGCCUUCCGAGUGCCCUGGAACGGGACGCCACAGAGGGUGAGAGCCCCGUAUGGUCGGACACCAAGCCUGUGUAAAGCUCCUUCGACGAGUCGGGUAGCUUGGGAAUGCUGCUCUAAGCGGGAGGUAAACUUCCUCUAAAGCUAAAUAUUGGCCAGAGACCGAUAGCGCACAAGUAGAGUGAUCGAAAGAUGAAAAGCACUUUGAAAAGAGGGUCAAAUAGUACGUGAAAUUGUUGAAAGGGAAGCGCUCAUGACCAGACUUGCGCCGGGCUGAUCAUCCAGUGGUUUCCACUGGUGCACUCUGCCCGGCUCAGGCCAGCGUCGGCUGUUGCGGGGGGACAAAAGCUCUGGGAACGUAGCUCUCUCCGGGGAGUGUUAUAGCCCUCUGCAGAAUACCCCCGCGGCGGCCGAGGUCCGCGCCCUGCAAG
RNAcentral lists this ribosomal RNA (511 nucleotides) under uncultured Cephalotheca. RNAcentral's name for it is "eukaryotic LSU rRNA". It matches the Rfam family "Eukaryotic large subunit ribosomal RNA", at positions 86 to 608 of the family's 3401-position model. Lineage: Eukaryota; Fungi; Ascomycota; Sordariomycetes; Cephalothecales; Cephalothecaceae. The record is from RNAcentral.